RNAcentral lists this ribosomal RNA (292 nucleotides) under uncultured bacterium. RNAcentral's name for it is "partial 16S ribosomal RNA". It matches the Rfam family "Bacterial small subunit ribosomal RNA", at positions 505 to 796 of the family's 1533-position model. The record is from RNAcentral.
GUGCCAGCCGCCGCGGUAAUACGAGAGGCCCAAACGUUAUUCGGAAUUACUGGGCUUAAAGAGUUCGUAGGCGGCGCGGAAAGUAGGGUGUGAAAGCCCUCGGCUUAACCGAGGAAUUGCGCCCUAAACUACCGUGCUUGAGGAAGCUAGAGGUGAGCGGAACUGAUGGUGGAGCGGUGAAAUGCGUUGAUAUCAUCAGGAACACCGGAGGCGAAGGCGGCUCACUGGGGCUUUUCUGACGCUGAGGAACGAAAGCCAGGGUAGCGAACGGGAUUAGAUACCCGGGUAGUCC